GGGGUCAUAGUGUAAUUUGGUAACAUAUCUGCCUUGCACGCAGAAGACUCCGGAAUCGUACUCCGGUGGCUCCA
This 74-nucleotide transfer RNA is filed under the name Clostridia bacterium. RNAcentral describes it as "tRNA-Ala". It matches the Rfam family "tRNA". From Rfam's summary of the family: Transfer RNA (tRNA) molecules are approximately 80 nucleotides in length. Their secondary structure includes four short double-helical elements and three loops (D, anti-codon, and T loops). Lineage: Bacteria; Bacillati; Bacillota; Clostridia. The record is from RNAcentral.